AAGUCGUACGAGAAAGCCCCUUCGGGGGUGAGUAAAGUGGCGCACGGGUGAGGAACACGUAAAUAACCUACCCUAUUGACCGGGACAACCCCGCGAAAGCGGAGCUAAUACCGGAUAAGCUCUAGAGAUCGUAAAGUUCACUAGAGGAAAGGCAGCCCUCUGAUCUAAGGUUGCGCUAUGGGAUGGAUUUGCGGCCCAUCAGCUUGUUGGUGAGGUAACGGCUCACCAAGGCUAUGACGGGUAGCUGGUCUGAGAGGACGAUCAGCCACACUGGGACUGAUACACGGCCCAGACUCCUACGGGAGGCAGCAGUGGGGAAUAUUGGACAAUGGGGGAAACCCUGAUCCAGCAAUACCGCGUGAAGGAAGAAGGUUUUCGGAUCGUAAACUUCUGUCAUAGGGGAAGAACGUUGUUGUUAAAAUAUAACUUCAACUUGACGGUACCCUAAGAGGAAGCACCGGCUAACUCCGUGCCAGCAGCCGCGGUAAUACGGAGGGUGCAAGCGUUGUUCGGAAUUACUGGGCGUAAAGCGUGUCUAGGCGGGAUCGUAAGUCAUGUGUGAAAGACCUUGGCUCAACCAAGGAAUUGCGCCUGAAACUGCGAUUCUUGAGUAGU
RNAcentral lists this ribosomal RNA (615 nucleotides) under uncultured bacterium. RNAcentral describes it as "bacterial SSU rRNA". It matches the Rfam family "Bacterial small subunit ribosomal RNA", at positions 59 to 650 of the family's 1533-position model. The record is from RNAcentral.